AUGGGAGAUAAUGAAUGGGUUGAUGUUACUGCUGAAUUGGUUCAUCAAAAUGACGCUAUGGACGAUGACAAUCCACUACUUUGGUACCAUGUUGAUCAGGCCGUUGGUGCGACCGAUGGUCUAAGUGGACGCCAUCUUCCAAGGAGGGCUCGUGGUGAUUUAAGUGAGUCUAGUCCUCCCGCUGGCUCUAAUAUCUUUUACACUCGAAGGACAAGUGUGGUUGUCCAUGAUGAAGACUUGCGGGCUGAAUUGGAAGCUGAAGAUAUUGAUAGUGACAUGGAGACCAAUGGUGAAGACAAUGAUGGCCCUACACGAGUGAAUGAUAUAGACCCUGAUUUUCAGCUGGAUGUAGAUCUGGAUUGA
This 363-nucleotide ribosomal RNA is filed under the name Triticum aestivum (bread wheat). Its description in RNAcentral is "partial small subunit ribosomal RNA". Lineage: Eukaryota; Viridiplantae; Streptophyta; Magnoliopsida; Poales; Poaceae. The record is from RNAcentral.